RNAcentral lists this ribosomal RNA (460 nucleotides) under uncultured bacterium. RNAcentral describes it as "partial 16S ribosomal RNA". It matches the Rfam family "Bacterial small subunit ribosomal RNA", at positions 338 to 795 of the family's 1533-position model. The record is from RNAcentral.
CCUACGGGAGGCUGCAGUGAGGAAUAUUGGUCAAUGGACGAGAGUCUGAACCAGCCAAGUAGCGUGAAGGAUGACUGCCCUAUGGGUUGUAAACUUCUUUUAUAUGGGAAUAAAAUGUUCCACGUGUGGGAUUUUGUAUGUACCAUAUGAAUAAGGAUCGGCUAACUCCGUGCCAGCAGCCGCGGUAAUACGGAGGAUCCGAGCGUUAUCCGGAUUUAUUGGGUUUAAAGGGAGCGUAGGUGGAUUGUUAAGUCAGUUGUGAAAGUUUGCGGCUCAACCGUAAAAUUGCAGUUGAAACUGGCAGUAUUGAGUACAGGAGAGGUGGGAGGAAUUCGUGGGGUAGCGGUGAAAUGCUGAGAUAUCACGAAGAAUUCCGAUUGCGAAGGCAGUUCACUGGACUGCAACUGACACUGAGGCUCGAAAGUGUGGGUAUCAAACAGGAUGAGAGACCCGGGUAGUG